Molecule: ribosomal RNA, 636 nt
Filed under: Triticum aestivum (bread wheat)
Lineage: Eukaryota; Viridiplantae; Streptophyta; Magnoliopsida; Poales; Poaceae
Description: partial small subunit ribosomal RNA
Source: RNAcentral
AUGAGUACUGCCAACGGCACACGGCGUGCCUCAAGAAGGCAAUCACAAGAUGCUGAUAAGGUCGUCGUGAACUUGGUCUCAACCCCCCCAGCGGCGGGCAGCCGUCGUGGAGUAUCGACCUCUAACGCUGGCGCGCGCACCUCACCCAUUGACGUGGAAGCCCUCGAGGAUGAAGUGCAGGUCGUAUCAGCUUCACAAGUGCCUCCUCAGAGGAGGAACCGGAGACCUAGGAGGCAGCCUGUGACAGUAGUUGAUCUCGAUGUACAUGCUACCCGGCAAGGAGUUUCUCAUGAUGAUAAUGCAACAGUGCUUUCUCCUAACACAAGGAACAAACGCCCAAGAGUUGCUCCUGUAAUAGACAUCUCUCCAGAAACAGGAGAAGGGUCCAGCUUACAGUCAAAAAAUGCGGGGAAAACUAGCAAAGAGCAUCUGAAUGUGGCUCCAAAGGAACCCAUCUUCACCUGCCCGGUGUGUUGGAACAAGUUGGAUGAGCCAGCCACAACAAUGUGCGGCCACAUCUUCUGCACAAACUGCAUAAAGCAAGCCAUCCAGUUCCAGAAGAAAUGUCCUACCUGCCGGAAGCACCUGAAGAUGAACAAUUUCCAUCGCAUUUACCUUCCUAACACCUCCCGUUAA